AUUCUUGUUGAUGAAUAUUCUGGAAAAAUACAAUAAUAAUAAUAAUUUGAGCUCAGAUUCCAUUAUACAUGUUAGGCCCUGAAUCAAGGUUCAAACUCGGUAGUCCGUUCUGUAAAGAGUCAAUGUAUUGCUGGUUAGAAAGUGUUGGAUUGCUUUUAAAUAAGUCCUUUAAUGUUGGGUUGAUACGAUAAUCAUAUUUUGAUGUGUUGUAUGGAUUUUUAUGUUUGGUUUUGAUACUUGCGAAUGGUUAUGCGAAUAAACCGCGGCUGUGCAUAGAUUGUAAUUUGUGUCUAUAUCUUCAACUUGAAUGUAUAUAUAAUCUGUUGCUGCUAACUGCUAACUGCUAUGUCCAAAUGCUAACUGCUAUGUCCAAAGCUUGGCAAGAUCUUUUCACUUUUUGAAAUGCUGAAGUUUAUAACUUGUGUCUAUAGUGAUUGAAAUAUUAAUGUUGAAUUUCGGUUUGAAAGUGUAAGGAAUGCCAAAGGUUCCCUAUCCGUUCGUGGCUGUUCUUGUUGUUUCUUAAGCUGUUUUGAGUUUAAAAGUAGUUUCUACAGACAAACCUUAAAGCUUAUUCCCAUUUUUUUGUUAUCCUAACUUUGUGAUUAUUAUUGGUGCUAUAGUUAAAAUGUAAAUUUAUGGAUUAGUUCACAGUAUAGUCAUAUUGUCAAUUAUGUGAUUGGUUUGAUUAUCAUAAGUUAAUAUUGUCAAAUAUGUGAUUGGUUUGAUUAUCAUAAGUUAAUUUACAUUAUUGAUUGCUUGCUGAAUUUUUAUAUUGUAUAUAGAUUUAGUUUUGAUUCUAUGGCCUGCUUGUUAAUAUGUGCAUAACAUGAAGUGGAUUCUGUUGGGUUUCAAAUCCAUUGUGAUAAUUUGGAGUUCUGACUCAGUGUUUAGAAAAUUUAAAUUAUUACUUGUCUCAUCUUCACUAUUCAAAUAAUUACAUUUUGUCAAAUAAAUUAAUUAGCUUUAGUCAAUCUGAUCAGUUGGUUUAAUUAAACAAAUUUUAAUUAGCUCAAUUAAUCCAUUUAAUCGGCUUUGAUCAGUUAAUUUUGCUAAAAAAAGAAUUGGAUUAAUUUCUUUCACUCUCACACCUUCACAUUAUUUCAAACAAAGAAAAAAACAUUUCAUUUCAUUUCAAUUCCAAACCAUUUCAUUCCAAUUCCAAUUCCAAAUCAUCUUUUCAUAAAUCAUUUCAAAAUUCAAUUUUAUUUCAAUUCAUCAUCCAACACUUUUCAAAAUUCAUUUCAAAUCCAAAUUCAAAUCAUUUCUUCAAACCAUUCAACUUAAAAAGGAACUUUCUCUUUUAAACAUAAAACUUGGGAUUCUUCAAACCAUUCAACUUAAAAAGGAACUUUCUCUUUUAAACAUAAAACUUGGGAUGAAAAGGAGAUAGUAAGCGUACGCUUCACUAUUUCUCAAGCACUUAAACAAUUGGCGUACGCCAUAUUGCGUGAGUUCUUGUCACCCGAUUAAAUCUUAAUCAACACAAAUUCAAAUCAUUUUCCAAUCAACUCAAUUUCUAAAGUUUUUUCUCUUUCAAAUAUAAAUUUGGGAUGAAAAGGAGAUAGAAGGCGUACGCCUUACUAUUUCUCAAUUACUCGAAUAAUUGGCGUACGCCAUAUUGCGCGAGUUCUUGUCACCCGAUUAAACUUCAAAUCAUAAUAUUUCAAAACAUUUCUACAAAUUCUAAAUCCUUUUAUUCUAUAUUUCAGAUGAAAAGAGGAUAGGAGGCGUACGCCUCACUAUCUUUCGAUUAUUCGAAUAAUUGGCGUACGCCACAUUGCUCGAAUCUUCGUCAUCAAAUUAAAACCUUAAUCAUAUACAUCCAAAUCUCAUUUUCUAAAUCAUCUACAAAUCCUACAACCAUUUUAGAUGAAAAGAGGAUAGGAGGCGUACGCCUUACUAUCUUUCGAUCAUUCGAAUAAUUGGCGUACGCCACAUUGCUCGAAUCUUCGUCAUCAAUUCAAACCUACUAAUCCAAAAUUCAAACUAUUCUCGCGAAUCACAUAUAAACAUCUAAACAUAUCUUUUUACAAUAAACCUCGGAUGAUAAGAGAGGGGAGGCGUACGCCUCACCAUCUCUCGAUUAUUUGGAUAAUUGGCGUACGCCAUAUUGCACAAAUUAUCGACUUCCGACUAAAAUACCCUAAAUAAACUUGGAUAAAGAAAUAAGGGGCGUACGCCUCAUUAUUCUUUGAAUAAGCAAGUAGGGGGCGUACGCCUCACUACCGUGCAUAUUCAACAUCCACAAACAAACUUUCAAAAUAAUUCAAACGAAAAGGGAAUAGAAGGCGUACGCCUUAUUAUUCCUCGAAAGAAUUGGUCGAUUGGUGAACACCACAUUGCUCAAUCUUUCGUCGUUCUCCAAAAACAUCUCAAACAAAUCAAACUAACUUCUCGCCCCCGUGCGAUCGAAACCAAUCAAACCCAAACACAUCAAUUCAACUCGUCACCCCGCGUGACCAAAACCCUUUCAAAAAG
This 2478-nucleotide long non-coding RNA is filed under the name Lathyrus oleraceus (garden pea). RNAcentral's name for it is "Pisum sativum (pea) long non-coding RNA (PSAT_LNC039908)". The record is from RNAcentral. Lineage: Eukaryota; Viridiplantae; Streptophyta; Magnoliopsida; Fabales; Fabaceae.